AAAAAUCUAACUAAGAGAAUAUGCUAACUACCAUGUAAAAGUAUUUUUUUGUAAUUUGGGAUCUUAAAAUUUUUACAAAAUUUAGGGGUCCUAGGCAAAUGCCUUUUUCAAAAGCCUCUAAGCACGGCUUUGAGUGAGAGGUGACUAAGUAAGUCUCUGACGCUGUAAAAAGAAUCUUUGAUUUUCUUGGAUCUCUGUGAUCGCCAUUGGACGGCUCUCAGACCUAAGUUUUACCAUAUGGUUUCUGAUACCAUAUUAUUCUAUAUACUUUUAAUAUAUACUUUUUUUUUGGAACACAAACUUUUAAUAUAUACUAUAAACUAAAUAAAGGAACUAUGCAUUUCUUUUGUCCAAAAAAAAGGAAAUAUACAUUUCUAGACCUGUUGCACAUUUAAUAAUGUUUAAAGGAUAACUUUUUGAUAUAAAUAAAACAUAUUAGUACGUGCAAGAAUGUUUAUGUGAUGCUGACAAAAAAAAGAAUGGUUAUGUGACAUAGUGAACAUAUAGAUUCAUAAUCAUGAAUUAUUUGAUUUCCGUUUGUAUAUUUCUAACAGAUCUUUUUUUAUUUUAAGAAAAAACAUAUUCCCCGUGUAACCAUGUCACUGUAAGUUUUGGUUUGUAUUGACUAUUUUCUAACAAAAUAAAACCAACAAAGCUUAAAUCAAGAUCAAAUCUAAAGCUACAGUAUAAAGCCGCAAUAAAACAUCGCACACCAUUAUUACAAAGUAGCCUCCUAUUAUUUUCUUCGUCCAUUCAAUAUAUCUUUUUCAAGGAAUAAUCAAACAUGGAGGGACGAACUAAGGAAGCAUCUCAUUAACCAAAAGGAAGCAAGCAUCCCAUGUGAUGAUGUGAAUGUUGGGUGAAAAAUAAUUCAUGCGGGCAAAUAUUUAUUGAAUUCUAUAACCAAUGAAUAACAAAGUGAAAGUGAUGCCAAAAACAAAGACAUUGUUUCCCCCCUUUUUACUGAUGGGAAUUUACCAAAAUAAAACGUAGACAAAAGAAUAUUCAGAAAAAUAUGAAUUAUUUUAAUUUUUCCUUACGUUUUCAUUUGAUUUUUAUAAUUGGAUGCUUCAGAAAAGAAUUCUUCUCUAAAAGCAUUUUGUCUUCGGAUGAAUAGCGGAUUAGCUGUAUUACAAGUGUAUAAACAAGUGUUACCUCGUGUCAUGCACGAGGAUGUUAUUGGGCCAGCAGCUUUGAUAAUAGUAAUACUAUCCUCGUGUAUAAUUUAUUUUAAAACAAUUAUUUUAAAACAAAUUUAUUUUAAAACAAUUAUUCUUUAUUAUACACAUAAAUCAUAUUUUAUAUGAAUCCGUGUUUGUGUGAACAUAAAUUAUGAAUUUAAGCGAUUCAGUAGACUUUACUGUAUUGGUUUAAAAGUUUUCAACUUUUCAUUUUCAUUUUUUUAUAAGCUUAAACAAUAAUUUGUUUUAAUAAUUACUACUUAUUAAACCGAGUUUCCAUUUAUUUGGUCAAAAAGAUACGUAGCAUAUAUUUCAAACAACAAAGGAAAGUCGCAAGAUACUACCAAAAUUUCAAAGGAAAACGCUUUAUUUUUCCAAAUCAGCGCAAAAUAGCAAACAAGUCUCCGCGUUUCCUCUACAUCCCCUCCCUUAUUUAAACGCUUUUCUUCUCUCUUCCUCUUCAACCUCACAACAAUCCAUCUCCUCGAAAGACAUUAACUCCCAACCUAAAAAAACCCCUGUCUGAACGGCAUAUGUCUCAAAGACCUCAAGUUCCUCAUUCUUCCUCUAUAGCUUUCGGUCUCCAUUCCCAUCUCCUACUCUCCAGUGAGAUCAGCUCUAAUUCCAACUGGUCUCUUUAAAAACAAUAAAAAAAUCUAACCUUUUUUCAUUAUCUCGGAAAAAAAAAACAAUCUUUCUGAAAUGGGUCUAAAGGGUUUCGCUGAAGGAGGGAUCGCAUCGAUCGUAGCGGGCUGUUCGACCCACCCGCUCGAUCUAAUCAAGGUCCGAAUGCAGCUCCAAGGCGAAUCAGCCUCAGUUCAGACAACUCUCCGACCAGCUCUUGCCUUCCAGACUUCCUCCGCCGUUCACGCGCCUUCGCCUCCUCCGCGCGUGGGAAUUAUCACCAUCGGAUCUCGCAUCGUCACACAAGAAGGCACGCGCGCUCUCUUCUCCGGCGUCUCCGCCACCGUUCUCCG
This 2158-nucleotide long non-coding RNA is filed under the name Brassica rapa (field mustard). RNAcentral's name for it is "long non-coding RNA (BRAP_LNC007361)". The record is from RNAcentral. Lineage: Eukaryota; Viridiplantae; Streptophyta; Magnoliopsida; Brassicales; Brassicaceae.